RNAcentral lists this non-coding RNA (29 nucleotides) under Mus musculus (house mouse). Lineage: Eukaryota; Metazoa; Chordata; Mammalia; Rodentia; Muridae. The record is from RNAcentral.
UAGACAAGUGUAAAGUGCUACUUGUAGAG